This 440-nucleotide ribosomal RNA is filed under the name uncultured bacterium. RNAcentral describes it as "partial 16S ribosomal RNA". It matches the Rfam family "Bacterial small subunit ribosomal RNA", at positions 338 to 795 of the family's 1533-position model. The record is from RNAcentral.
CCUACGGGAGGCAGCAGUGGGGAAUAUUGCACAAUGGGGGAAACCCUGAUGCAGCGACGCCGCGUGAGUGAAGAAGUAAUUCGUUAUGUAAAGCUCUAUCAGCAGGGAAGAAAAUGACGGUACCUGAGUAAGAAGCCCCGGCUAACUACGUGCCAGAAGCCGCGGUAAUACGUAGGGGGCAAGCGUUAUCCGGAUUUACUGGGUGGAAAGGGAGCGUAGACGGCAGUGCAAGUAUGGAGUGAAAGGCGGGGGCUCAACCCCCGGACUGCUCUGGAAACUGUACGGCUGGAGUGCAGGAGAGGUAAGUGGAAUUCCUAGUGUAGCGGUGAAAUGCGUAGAUAUUAGGAGGAACACCAGUGGCGAAGGCGGCUUACUGGACUGUAACUGACGUUGAGGCUCGAAAGCGUGGGGAGCAAACAGGAUUAGAUACCCUAGUAGUC